This 847-nucleotide long non-coding RNA is filed under the name Vulpes vulpes (red fox). RNAcentral describes it as "lncRNA (ENSVVUG00000020752.1)". Lineage: Eukaryota; Metazoa; Chordata; Mammalia; Carnivora; Canidae. The record is from RNAcentral.
UUCUAUUUUGCCCAGCACAGCACCUGACAUACAGAAAAUAUUCCAUUGAAUACAUUAAAUUGUCAUGUGGUAAGAAGGCAACGUGGUGGGGAGAAGGAAAGGCAAGCAACUUGAGUUGGGAGCCGACCACCUAGGAUCAUACAGUCCUACCACCUUUCCUGUGCAAUAGAGGCUUAUGCACAGCUCGCCUACCCAACGAGGCAAGAGGAUUUUCAAGACCAUUUCCUGCAUAAACAUUAGCUACUGGAGACAGCAUGGUUCAGUGGCAGAAGAUUCAGACUCUAGAAAACACUGUCCAGUUUGCAUCCUGACUGAGGGACCCUGGGUCACAAAUGCAGUUAACACUGGUGAAGAGAGACUGAGAAAAAAGAGGCCAAGAAACCAUCACAUCGGCUACAUGUUCUGAUUUCACAGAGAAGUAGAGUGUCAGACAGGACACAGUCAUAGCUCUAGGGAAAUUGAGGUCUUUAAAAUGAUUAUUUUGAAUUCUAGAUGAUGCCAUUUUGCUUUUCGCAACUCAAUAUUCCAGCCACAGAAUUGUCCCCUUGGAACAUUCUCCUACUUGAAGUUUCCACAGUUUGAAUGAAAGACGUGUAAGAAAUAUUUUCAUAUUGUCUGUCACACUUAAAUUCAAAUGUUCAUGUUUAAUGAGCCACAGGCCACUGAUCUAAAGCAGAGAUCAUUAAUUGUUCAAAGCCUAGGGUGAAGUCAGCAUUAGUGUGAUAAUUUGACCACACUAUUUAAGUGAUGGGAUGUUGGUUGUUCACAAAGCAUGGCAUGAAAGACUUGAGGAGUAUGUUGUAAUCAAAAUAAUAAUAAAUUGGUAUAAACUUUCUGGAAAACUACA